AGCGUAGGCGGGCUCUUAAGUUAGGUGUUUAAUCCCGGGCCCAACCCCGGACAGGCACCUAAAACUGGGAGUCUUGAAUAGUGGAGAGGACGGCGGAAUUGGGGGUGUAGCGGUGGAAUGCGUAGAGAUCCCCAAGAACACCAGUUGCGAAGGCGGCCGUCUGGACACAUAUUGACGCUGAGGCUCGAAAGCAUGGGGAGCAAACA
Molecule: ribosomal RNA, 206 nt
Filed under: uncultured bacterium
Lineage: Bacteria
Description: partial 16S ribosomal RNA
Rfam family: Bacterial small subunit ribosomal RNA
Source: RNAcentral